GACGAACGCUGGCGGCGUGCUUAACACAUGCAAGUCGAACGGAAAGGCCCUGCUUUUGUGGGGUGCUCGAGUGGCGAACGGGUGAGUAACACGUGAGUAACCUGCCCUUGACUUUGGGAUAACUUCAGGAAACUGGGGCUAAUACCGGAUAGGAGCUCCUGCUGCAUGGUGGGGGUUGGAAAGUUUCGGCGGUUGGGGAUGGACUCGCGGCUUAUCAGCUUGUUGGUGGGGUAGUGGCUUACCAAGGCUUUGACGGGUAGCCGGCCUGAGAGGGUGACCGGCCACAUUGGGACUGAGAGACGCCGCAGACUCCUGCGGGGGGAAGGAGGGGGGAAUGGUGCAAAGGGGGGGGGCGCCUGAUGCAGCAACGCCGGGUGCGGGAUGACGCCCUGGGGUUUGAAACCCUCUUCCGCCUGUGAAGAAGGGGGAGGGGGGUGAGUGGAUAAAAAGACCCCGGCUAACUCCGCC
This 468-nucleotide ribosomal RNA is filed under the name uncultured bacterium. RNAcentral's name for it is "partial 16S ribosomal RNA". It matches the Rfam family "Bacterial small subunit ribosomal RNA", at positions 28 to 507 of the family's 1533-position model. The record is from RNAcentral.